AGUUUAAAGGACAAGGAGGGGAGCAGUUGGCUUCUUAGGCAAAGUAUCAUCAGCUAACCUUUAAGCUGACUGGGCCUCAGUCAGGUAACGGGUGGUGGUGGAUGGGUGGUGAACAGGGGAAUUUCAGAACAUUGAGAUAACAGAGCACGAGUAUUACAAUCAUAAUGUUUCAACUUAUUAGUAACAUUUUUCAGGGUCAGCCACAAAAACCACAGUGAACUCAUACAUAGGUACAGAAAGGGCUGCCUGGUGGUCAGCUGUGACCCAAGAUAAUUUAGACAUAACAGCUCAUAAUAACCUUUGAUUUGAUGGGUCCUACAUGAAGCCUUGUGGAAUUUCUUAAGAUUAACAAACUUCAUACAGAACAUUCAGAAUACACAGAACAAAACAGGGUAUGUGGUCAGCAUGUCCUUGAGCCAAGUCACUUCUCUGUGCCAGUGACUGGCAGGCAUGUUACAGCAACAAUAUGAAAUAGCUGGCAGGCAUGGAACAAAAUGACUACAGAUAUUCUAGAGAUUGGUCAGACCAUAACAAUAGAUAAAACACUGAUACACAUAAAAUAAUCUAAAAAUAAUUAAGAGCUUAUACAAAUUAAAAGCCAAAACAAAACAAAACAAAAACCUGGAAAGAACCUUAAUAACAAACAAGAUAGAGAAAGGUUGACUUCCCGGCUAUGGUAAGAGGGCGAUGUGGUUAAUUCUUUUGUCAAGUUGACUGGAUUUGGACUCAUGGAGGAGUCACACUUUAGAUGUGUGUCUUUGGGAGAAAUUCAAAAGAGGUUUAAUGGAGAAGGGAAGGCCCACCCUGAGUAGGGGGAGCAUCAUCCAUCACCCUGAGUCUCAGGGUGACUAAAAUGGAAGACACCAGCUGACAGGCAGUUUUCAUCUCUCUGCUCCCUGACUGGGACGUUGAUGUGACUGGCCUUCUCAUGCUUCCGCCAUGCUUCUCCAGCCAUGAUGGACGGUGUCACUGACCCGUAAACCAAUGUAAGCUCUCUUUUCCUUACGGUAUUAUCAGGUAUCCUAUUACAGCAAUGAGAAAAUUGAUUAAUAUAGCAUGCAAGUACACCUAAGGCCUGAGGAAUAAAUGCCUAAAGGACGGGAGCAGGUUGCAAAGGAGAAAUUGAUGUUUCCAACAGACAUGAAAAUUGUUCUUAUUUACCAAGAGACUUGAUGCACAAAUUGAUACAUAUAUUAAGAACAGAUCUUUUCCCCUCUAACAAAAUUUCACUACUUAUGGGAUAUUGGCAUAACUUUAUUUGAAAUCAAUUUGGCCACAUUAGUUAUGUCUUAGAAUGUUCAUACCCUUUCAGUAAGUAAUUUCAUUUAAGGGUCCAUAUGCUAGAGAGAGAAUCUGAAGCACAUAGAAAGUUUUAUGUUCAAAAAUUUCACCAUAAAAGUUGACAGUGAUUUUAAUGCUGAAAAAUUAAAACAAUGGUUUUAUUUUAUGAUGCUUUUAUAACUAUCAUGCAACCAUUAAAUAUGAUACUUGUGCAGAGGAUAGACAGGAAGUGCCUAUAUGCUGAAUAUUUGUUGAAAAUAGGAGAACAUACAUAAAUUAUCCUCCUCACUAGGACAUUAUGAGUAACUAUGUACACAAAAACAUGGCACAGGGCUGUAACAGGGCUGCAGAGAUGACCCCAUGUGUAAAGCCCUGGCCUCAUAGGACUAUUGACAUAGGUUAAGAUUCCCAAAGCUUGCCUAAAACCCAACAC
This 1714-nucleotide long non-coding RNA is filed under the name Mus musculus (house mouse). RNAcentral's name for it is "long non-coding RNA chr6:40026893-40028607". The record is from RNAcentral. Lineage: Eukaryota; Metazoa; Chordata; Mammalia; Rodentia; Muridae.